GCCAAGCGCGGUGACAUGAGCCUACAGCAGCAGCACAGCCCAGCUCUUCCCAGGCCACGGAUGGAGGGAUGGACCGUUGGCGUCUCUUUCAUGGUGACUGAAGCACUCUGAGCUAGAAGUGGGACCGAAAAAAAGGAGAAGAUUCAAUUCAAAUAGAGUUGGAAGAUGGAGGCCAGCAGAGAGAAAUGGAAGAGUCAACUUUUUAAACAGGAAAGAAAGAAGGCUAUAACCUAAAAACCCACAAAACCUGAAGGACCUCCUGAGUCCUCUGCCAUCCUCUGCAGCAGGACACCCUCCAAACACAUCUGGACACUGGGAUACACCUGCUGUGUGGUGGCUUAGACCAAAUACCCCUGAAAGCUUUCUCCACCUCGAUAGAACGUUUAUUCACAAAAGGUGCCAGCAACCAAGGAGUCAAUGUGAGAUCGCUGGAGAACACCCGUUAAUUGGUUUCAGAAGAUCUUCAAACAGGACUCGGAAACAAAUCAAACCGGUGUAAGGGAAAGAAGAGAUUUGGGGUCACGAUACGGACCUUCGCCUUUCUCGGCUGGUAAAAACCAUCGUCCAUAUUUCUUCUCAGCAAAAGUUUGGCUCUACACCAGCUUCAGCAAUCACAAGGACUAAUAUCUAAGAAAGACUGCAUUAAAAGUAUAAUGUAAAAAUAUGUCUCUAAUAAAAGGAAACGAGAAUUCCA
RNAcentral lists this long non-coding RNA (694 nucleotides) under Calidris pugnax (ruff). RNAcentral describes it as "lncRNA (ENSCPUG00000008619.1)". The record is from RNAcentral. Lineage: Eukaryota; Metazoa; Chordata; Aves; Charadriiformes; Scolopacidae.